This 877-nucleotide ribosomal RNA is filed under the name Cucurbitaria berberidis. RNAcentral's name for it is "eukaryotic LSU rRNA". It matches the Rfam family "Eukaryotic large subunit ribosomal RNA", at positions 47 to 941 of the family's 3401-position model. The record is from RNAcentral. Lineage: Eukaryota; Fungi; Ascomycota; Dothideomycetes; Pleosporales; Cucurbitariaceae.
UAAGCGGAGGAAAAGAAACCAACAGGGAUUGCCCUAGUAACGGCGAGUGAAGCGGCAUCAGCUCAAAUUUGAAAUCUGGCUCUUUCAGGGUCCGAGUUGUAAUUUGCAGAGGGCGCUUUGGCGUUGGCAGCGGUCUAAGUUCCUUGGAACAGGACGUCACAGAGGGUGAGAAUCCCGUACGUGGUCGCUAACCUUCGCCGUGUAAAGCCCCUUCGACGAGUCGAGUUGUUUGGGAAUGCAGCUCUAAAUGGGAGGUAAAUUUCUUCUAAAGCUAAAUACUGGCCAGAGACCGAUAGCGCACAAGUAGAGUGAUCGAAAGAUGAAAAGCACUUUGGAAAGAGAGUCAAAUAGCACGUGAAAUUGUUGAAAGGGAAGCGCUUGCAGCCAGACUUGCCUGUAGUUGCUCAUCCGGGCUUUUGCCCGGUGCACUCUUCUGCGGGCAGGCCAGCAUCAGUCUAGGCGGUUGGAUAAAGGCCUCUGUCACGUACCUCCUUUCGGGGAGGCCUUAUAGGGGAGGCGACAUGCAACCAGCCUGGACUGAGGUCCGCGCAUCUGCUAGGAUGCUGGCGUAAUGGCUGUAAGCGGCCCGUCUUGAAACACGGACCAAGGAGUCUAACAUCUAUGCGAGUGUUUGGGUGUCAAGCCCGAACGCGUAAUGAAAGUGAACGGAGGUGGGAUCCCUUUUAGGGUGCACCAUCGACCGAUCCUGAUGUCUUCGGAUGGAUUUGAGUAAGAGCAUGGCUGUUGGGACCCGAAAGAUGGUGAACUAUGCUUGAAUAGGGUGAAGCCAGAGGAAACUCUGGUGGAGGCUCGCAGCGGUUCUGACGUGCAAAUCGAUCGUCAAAUUUGGGCAUAGGGGCGAAAGACUAAUCGAACA